This is a small nucleolar RNA of Musca vetustissima, 155 nucleotides long. The record is from RefSeq and is a predicted model, not a curated record. Lineage: Eukaryota; Metazoa; Arthropoda; Insecta; Diptera; Muscidae.
UUCAAUGUUGUCCAAAACUAAAACCAUUUUGUUGUUGUUGUAGACUUUUUGGUAUUCAAUUGGACUAAAGUAAACAUCAUGGUUGACUAUUCCUCUUAAGGAUAUCGGCUCAAAGAUAUAAACCUUAAUAAAGUGAAAAUCAACAUUUCUGAAGA